RNAcentral lists this transfer RNA (71 nucleotides) under Marmota monax (woodchuck). Its description in RNAcentral is "tRNA.Val". The record is from RNAcentral. Lineage: Eukaryota; Metazoa; Chordata; Mammalia; Rodentia; Sciuridae.
GUGGCUAUAGCUCAGUGGUAGAGUGUCCACCUCACAUAUGUGAGGCACUGGGUUAGAUCCUCAGCACCACA